CACGAAGUUAGCCGGGGCUUAUUCUUGCGGUACCGUCAUUAUCUUCCCGCACAAAAGAGCUUUACAACCCUAGGGCCUUCAUCACUCACGCGGCAUGGCUGGAUCAGGGUUGCCCCCAUUGUCCAAUAUUCCCCACUGCUGCCUCCCGUAGGAGUCUGGGCCGUGUCUCAGUCCCAGUGUGGCUGAUCAUCCCCUCAGACCAGCUACUGAUCGUCGCCUUGGUGAGCCCAUUACCUCACCAACUAGCUAAUCAGACGCGGGCCGAUCUUUCGGCGAUAAAUCUUUCCCCGUUAGGGCUUAUCCGGUAUUAGCUGAAGUUUCCCUCAGUUGUUCCGAACCAAAAGGUACGUUCCACGUGUUACUCACCCGUCUGCCGCUGACGUAUUGCUACGCCCGCUCGACUUGCAUGUGUUAAGCCUGCCGCCAGCGUUCGCUCUGAGCCAGGACUCGAAACUCU
Molecule: ribosomal RNA, 457 nt
Filed under: uncultured Bradyrhizobiaceae bacterium
Lineage: Bacteria; Pseudomonadati; Pseudomonadota; Alphaproteobacteria; Hyphomicrobiales; Nitrobacteraceae
Description: partial 16S ribosomal RNA
Source: RNAcentral